Molecule: ribosomal RNA, 484 nt
Filed under: uncultured bacterium
Lineage: Bacteria
Description: partial 16S ribosomal RNA
Rfam family: Bacterial small subunit ribosomal RNA
Source: RNAcentral
AUUGAACGCUGGCGGCAGGCCUAACACAGGCAAGUCGAGCGGAUGAAGGGAGCUUGCGCCUGGAUGCGGCGGCGGACGGGUGAGUAAUGCCUAGGAAUCGGCCUGGUAGUGGGGGAUAACGUCCGGAAACGGGCGCUAAUACCGCAUACGUCCGGAGGGAGAAAGUGGGGGAGCUUCGGACCUCACGCUAUCAGAUGAGCCUAGGUCGGAUUAGCUGGUGGGUGGGGUAAAGGCCUACCAAGGCGACGAUCCGUAACUGGUCUGAGAGGAUGAUCAGUCACACUGGAACUGAGACACGGUCCAGACUCCUACGGGAGGCAGCAGUGGGGAAUAUUGGACAAUGGGCGAAAGCCUGAUCCAGCCAUGCCGCGUGUGUGAAGAAGGUCUUCGGAUUGUAAAGCACUUUAAGUUGGGAGGAAGGGCAGUAAGUUAAUACCUUGCUGUUUUGACGUUACCAACAGAAUAAGCACCGGCUAACUUCGUG